Molecule: long non-coding RNA, 418 nt
Filed under: Cavia porcellus (domestic guinea pig)
Lineage: Eukaryota; Metazoa; Chordata; Mammalia; Rodentia; Caviidae
Description: lncRNA (ENSCPOG00000040662.1)
Source: RNAcentral
UGGCGGCUGCGGACCUCUGAGCUCCGGGUCUGGGGUCUAGGUGCGGCCUCGAGUGCAGCGGCCAUAUGUACCAGGACCGAGAGCCAGCCCCGGACCCGGGCCCAGCUCCGCGGCAGGGACAAGGCCGCUGGGACAACCCUGAGCAGUGCCCUGGUGUCAGGCUGAGAGCUGAGCCCCAGGCCUCUGGGCACCAAGAUCCUGUGUAGCUGCCUGGCCCUUCAGGUGAGCUGGGCCCACCCUGCACCCAGCCCUGCCAGUCCUUCCCUGGACUCCCAGUCAGUAUGCAAGUGAGGGAGGGAGGAAAUCCACUGCUUUCCAGAGGCGGAGCAAUCCUGGAAGCUUACAUUUCAAAGAUUUAACUUCUGGUAAGUGUGCAUAUUAAUUUGCCCAAAGAUGUAGUCAGGAUAGGGAAUGUUCC